GACGAACCGUGCGAACGUUGUUCGGAAUCACUGGGCUUAAAGGGCGCGUAGGCGGCUUGGCAAGUCCGGGGUGAAAGCCCCCAGCUCAACUGGGGAAGUGCCUUGGAUACUGCCAAGCUCGAGCGAGAUAGGGGUCGUGGGAACUUCCGGGUGGAGCGGUGAAAUGCGUUGAUAUCGGAAGGAACGCCGGUGGCGAAAGCGCACGACUGGAUCUCUUCUGACGCUGAGGCGCGAAAGCCAGGGGAGCAAACGGG
This 254-nucleotide ribosomal RNA is filed under the name uncultured bacterium. RNAcentral describes it as "partial 16S ribosomal RNA". It matches the Rfam family "Bacterial small subunit ribosomal RNA", at positions 524 to 776 of the family's 1533-position model. The record is from RNAcentral.